This 465-nucleotide ribosomal RNA is filed under the name uncultured bacterium. RNAcentral's name for it is "partial 16S ribosomal RNA". It matches the Rfam family "Bacterial small subunit ribosomal RNA", at positions 28 to 507 of the family's 1533-position model. The record is from RNAcentral.
GACGAACGCUGGCGGCGUGCUUAACACAUGCAAGUCGAACGGAAAGGCCCUGCUUGCAGGGUACUCGAGUGGCGAACGGGUGAGUAACACGUGGGUGAUCUGCCCUGCACUUCGGGAUAAGCCUGGGAAACUGGGUCUAAUACCGGAUAGGAGCCAUUUUUAGUGUGAUGGUUGGAAAGUUUUUUCGGUGUAGGAUGAGCUCGCGGCCUAUCAGCUUGUUGGUGGGGUAAUGGCCUACCAAGGCGGCGACGGGUAGCCGGCCUGAGAGGGUGGACGGCCACAUUGGGACUGAGAUACGGCCCAGACUCCGACGGGAGGCAGCAGUGGGGAAGAUUGCACAAUGGGCGCAAGCCUGAUGCAGCGACGCCGCGUGGGGGAUGACGGCCUUCGGGUUGUAAACGCCUUUCGCUAGGGACGAAGCUUUUUGUGACGGUACCUAGAGAAGAAGCACCGGCUAACUACGUG